Molecule: long non-coding RNA, 344 nt
Filed under: Musa acuminata (dwarf banana)
Lineage: Eukaryota; Viridiplantae; Streptophyta; Magnoliopsida; Zingiberales; Musaceae
Description: long non-coding RNA (MACU_LNC008393)
Source: RNAcentral
UGAGUUCGAGCUACGGUUCGACGUUGAAAACCAUACUUGAUGGUGCUCAAGGCAAACGAGGCGCUUGGUAAAGGAUGAGACCAUGCAAAGUGGAAUGGGUUGCUCAGUGACCGAAAGAGAUAUGCAAAGCUCACAGAGGUAAGGGGAAUUACUAACUCGAAGAAUUUGAUACUCACGCAAGGGCUUGUAUGCGGAUGAUGGAAUGUUCAUGGUCAUCCUAAGGCGACCGAAACUCAAUGCCAUGGAGCAUUAAAACUUUAUCUUCGGCAUGUGAAGGAUAUGUUAGUAGGAGGCUGAAGUGUGUAGCGAGUUCAAUAUGUUGCUAGGCCUUAAGUGCUGUAGCG